AGGGGAAUUGCCACAAAUACCACUUUCAAUGUACCAUUUUUCAUUAAUACCUUAACCAAUUUUACCAUUAAAAUUUUAAUAGGCAAAAUACAAUUAUGCCCCUAUCUAAUUAAAACUACAACUAUUAUCUUCUUCUCCACUAUCCGAUAAUCAAUCCGACGAGAUCCGGUGAUUCUGACGAGUUUUCCGGCGAGCUUUGACAACGAAGACGAGCUCUCUUGCGAAAUCUGACGAUGCUGAUGAAUUCUCUGGCGAAACACGAAUGAGACGAUCUCUCUCCUGAUGCUGAUGAGUUUCCGGUGAGAUAUGACGACGCUAACGAGUUUUCCGGCGAGAUCUGACGAUGCCGAGAAGUUCUACGGCAAAGCUGACAGACUCGACAAGCUCAGACGAACGAGACGAUCUCUCUCCCAACGCCUAACGAGAAAUUCUCCGGCAAAGCUGACAGACUCGACAAGCUCAGACGAACGAGACGAUCUCUCUCCCAACGCCUAAGAAACACUAACAAAGGUAAGAUGAUAGUAUAUGGUGAUUUUUGCCUCUUUCUGUAAUUUUAGCUUGAUUUAUCAAAAUCGAUAUGUUUCUAAGAAAGAAGACGAAGUUUUUCAAGUGAAGUUUUCAGAUCUCAUAUUUAUAAGAUCUUAUAAAUUGGGUCCUUUCAAAUCUUACUGUUGAUCUGUUAGCAAUCAAAAGACACAAAGCUUAACGUAAGAGUACAAUUAUUGAUUUGGUUGAUUUAUUGUCAUAGUUUUCAGAUUUAUAUAAUUAUUUAAUUCAUGAGAAGGUACUAACCUAAGAGUAUAAUUAUUCCAUGAUUACUUCUUCUCUUGGUUGAUUUGGUGAUGUUGCAGAGAAUUAAAAAUGUGUGUUGUCAGCUUUUGGAUUUAAAGGAUGUUGUGGAGAAUAUGUGUGGUGAUAUGCAUAUCUAAGUAUCUCACUUCCUUAAGGUAAUACAAUGCUAUUAUUUGUAGUUUGACUAGCAAUGUUUUAGUAUGUGCAGUAUAUGAGGUGGAACGUUGGUGUUUUGGUAGUGUAACGUUCUAUUUAUACUUUGUGAGAUUUAUUUUUUAUGUCUUGUUUUGUGUAUAAUAUCUACAGAAGCAGUGGAGAUGAAGGAUGAGUUUGUUGAGUUACGAAAGCAUACUAUUUUUGAAUCUUAUUUUGGAAGUGAAUGCUGAUGCGUAGAAAUAAUAUGUGACUGGCUUUUGUUCAGAUUUUGAAAAUUUACGAGGUUGGUGAGCUGUUUGAAGAGGCAAGAGAGACUCUGAAGAAGAAUGUGGUUUGUGCUAUCAAAGAAUUACGUAUUUAUAACGCUUUAUAAAAGUUGCAGAGUUGGCUUCUUAGUACAUUCUUCUCUCUCAUCUUCUUUAGACAUCUCUUAUACUAAAACAAUUGUAUCUCUCUUUUAGUAGUUGCAUAGUUGAAGAUAUUAGUUGGACAUGUAAGUGAGUUUGGUUUCAAUUGUUUCUUUUAUAGAAGAGUGAGAUAUGGAGAAGCCUUGAUGUUCUCAGACUAUGUUAAAGCAAUAUAUCCCUUGUUGAAGGACGUGGCUCUUUCACCAGAUAUGUCUUUUUUGUGUUGAUUAUCUUUUGGAGGGAUUUUAGAAAAAUUACCUUAUAA
Molecule: long non-coding RNA, 1620 nt
Filed under: Brassica napus (rape)
Lineage: Eukaryota; Viridiplantae; Streptophyta; Magnoliopsida; Brassicales; Brassicaceae
Description: long non-coding RNA (BNAP_LNC004595)
Source: RNAcentral